Molecule: long non-coding RNA, 575 nt
Filed under: Cyanistes caeruleus (blue tit)
Lineage: Eukaryota; Metazoa; Chordata; Aves; Passeriformes; Paridae
Description: lncRNA (ENSCCEG00000021543.1)
Source: RNAcentral
UUUUUUUUCCCCUCUCUUCUGCUCUCUGUCUUGCCUUUAACCGCUACCAGCUCAGCUUGGUUUAAACACUUUUCCUGGCCAAUGCAGGACUGAGUGCCCAUCCAACUUACCCGGGGACUUAAAUGUGGGCUUCUGCAUCCGACAAAUAUGGUUGUGUCUGUGGCUCCCAAGGUCUGAGCCCAGUCUCUCUGCCAUGGGCUGUGCUGGGACAAGUGCCUGCCUCCACCUUGGCCCCGCUGGCGUCUCACUUCUCCAGUGCCCAGCCCUGCACAGGGGCUGACUUCAAAGUCCCCAAAGGAGACUACCUCUUCAAAGGAUGGCAAGCAUGACUUCAGAUACAGACAAAGCAACCCAGACGGAUGGCGGAGAGAGGGAGGCGAGGGAUGUGGGAAGAGAGAGGUUUUCCCAGAGAGCAAAAUGAACCCUUGAUGAAGCCUCUGGGAUUAAAGAGGUGGCUUAGUUCUGUCACAGCAUCCACCCUUCAACCCGUUUAAGCAGCAUGCCUUUUCCAACAAAUGAAGGGCAAAGAAGCACUGAUAAGCAAUAAAGAGAUAAGCAGCAAAGUACUCGUUUCA